RNAcentral lists this ribosomal RNA (253 nucleotides) under uncultured bacterium. RNAcentral describes it as "partial 16S ribosomal RNA". It matches the Rfam family "Bacterial small subunit ribosomal RNA", at positions 524 to 776 of the family's 1533-position model. The record is from RNAcentral.
UACGUAGGGUGCAAGCGUUGUCCGGAAUUAUUGGGCGUAAAGAGCUCGUAGGCGGUUUGUCGCGUCUGCUGUGAAAACGCGAGGCUCAACCUCGCGCCUGCAGUGGGUACGGGCAGACUAGAGUGCGGUAGGGGAGAUUGGAAUUCCUGGUGUAGCGGUGGAAUGCGCAGAUAUCAGGAGGAAUACCGAUGGCGAAGGCAGAUCUCUGGGCCGUUACUGACGCUGAGGAGCGAAAGCAUGGGGAGCGAACAGG